This 1439-nucleotide ribosomal RNA is filed under the name uncultured organism. RNAcentral describes it as "SSU rRNA". It matches the Rfam family "Bacterial small subunit ribosomal RNA". The record is from RNAcentral.
UUGCUACAGGCUUAACACAUGCAAGUCGAGGGGCAGCAUGGUCUUAGCUUGCUAAGGCCGAUGGCGACCGGCGCACGGGUGAGUAACACGUAUCCAACCUGCCGUCUACUCUUGGACAGCCUUCUGAAAGGAAGAUUAAUACAAGAUGGCAUCAUGAGUCCGCAUGUUCACAUGAUUAAAGGUAUUCCGGUAGACGAUGGGGAUGCGUUCCAUUAGAUAGUAGGCGGGGUAACGGCCCACCUAGUCUUCGAUGGAUAGGGGUUCUGAGAGGAAGGUCCCCCACAUUGGAACUGAGACACGGUCCAAACUCCUACGGGAGGCAGCAGUGAGGAAUAUUGGUCAAUGGGCGAGAGCCUGAACCAGCCAAGUAGCGUGAAGGAUGACUGCCCUAUGGGUUGUAAACUUCUUUUAUAAAGGAAUAAAGUCGGGUAUGGAUACCCGUUUGCAUGUACUUUAUGAAUAAGGAUCGGCUAACUCCGUGCCAGCAGCCGCGGUAAUACGGAGGAUCCGAGCGUUAUCCGGAUUUAUUGGGUUUAAAGGGAGCGUAGAUGGAUGUUUAAGUCAGUUGUGAAAGUUUGCGGCUCAACCGUAAAAUUGCAGUUGAUACUGGAUAUCUUGAGUGCAGUUGAGGCAGGCGGAAUUCGUGGUGUAGCGGUGAAAUGCUUAGAUAUCACGAGGAACUCCGAUUGCGAAGGCAGCCUGCUAAGCUGCAACUGACAUUGAGGCUCGAAAGUGUGGGUAUCAAACAGGAUUAGAUACCCUGGUAGUCCACACGGUAAACGAUGAAUACUCGCUGUUUGCGAUAUACAGCAAGCGGCCAAGCGAAAGCGUUAAGUAUUCCACCUGGGGAGUACGCCGGCAACGGUGAAACUCAAAGGAAUUGACGGGGGCCCGCACAAGCGGAGGAACAUGUGGUUUAAUUCGAUGAUACGCGAGGAACCUUACCCGGGCUUAAAUUGCAGAUGAAUUACGGUGAAAGCCGUAAGCCGCAAGGCAUCUGUGAAGGUGCUGCAUGGUUGUCGUCAGCUCGUGCCGUGAGGUGUCGGCUUAAGUGCCAUAACGAGCGCAACCCUUGUUGUCAGUUACUAACAGGUUCCGCUGAGGACUCUGACAAGACUGCCAUCGUAAGAUGUGAGGAAGGUGGGGAUGACGUCAAAUCAGCACGGCCCUUACGUCCGGGGCUACACACGUGUUACAAUGGGGGGUACAGAGGGCCGCUACCACGCGAGUGGAUGCCAAUCCCCAAAACCUCUCUCAGUUCGGACUGGAGUCUGCAACCCGACUCCACGAAGCUGGAUUCGCUAGUAAUCGCGCAUCAGCCACGGCGCGGUGAAUACGUUCCCGGGCCUUGUACACACCGCCCGUCAAGCCAUGGGAGCCGGGGGUACCUGAAGUGCGUAACCGCGAGGAGCGCCCUAGGGUAAAACUGGUGACUGGGG